AUACAUGAUGAACAAAAUUCACUGCGUUCUUACUGUAAUCGAGCCCUCUGGGCUUAUUGAAGAGAACAUUCAUAUAUCAACAAUUCACCUUGGAGAACUGAUGU
Molecule: small nucleolar RNA, 104 nt
Filed under: Drechslerella stenobrocha 248
Lineage: Eukaryota; Fungi; Ascomycota; Orbiliomycetes; Orbiliales; Orbiliaceae
Description: A. fumigatus snoRNA Afu_294
Rfam family: A. fumigatus snoRNA Afu_294
Source: Rfam by way of RNAcentral